This 253-nucleotide ribosomal RNA is filed under the name uncultured microorganism. RNAcentral describes it as "partial 16S ribosomal RNA". It matches the Rfam family "Bacterial small subunit ribosomal RNA", at positions 524 to 776 of the family's 1533-position model. The record is from RNAcentral.
UACGUAGGGUGCGAGCGUUAAUCGGAUUUACUGGGCGUAAAGCGUGCGCAGGCGGCCCGUUAAGACAGGUGUGAAAUCCCUGGGCUCAACCUAGGAAUUGCGCUUGUGACUGGCGGGCUCGAGUACGGUAGAGGGGGGUGGAAUUCCUGGUGUAGGAGUGAAAUGCGUAGAGAUCAGGAGGAACACCGAUGACGAAGGCAGCCCCCUGGGCCUGUACUGACGCUCAUGCACGAAAGCGUGGGGAGCAAACGGG